Molecule: ribosomal RNA, 99 nt
Filed under: vertebrate environmental sample
Lineage: Eukaryota; Metazoa; Chordata
Description: partial 12S ribosomal RNA
Source: RNAcentral
UUGGCCUUAAACAAGAAUAAUUUUACAACAAAAUUAUUUGCCAGAGAACUACUAGCAAUCGCUUAAAACUCAAAGGACUUGGCGGUACUUUAUAUCCAU